GUGUCAGCAGCCGCGGUAAUACCGGCAGCACGAGUGAUGACCGCUCUUAUUGGGCCUAAAGCGUCCGUAGCUGGCCACGCAAGUCUAUCGGGAAAUCCGCGCGCUCAACGCGCGGGCGUCCGGUGGAAACUGUGUGGCUUGGGACCGGAAGAUCCAGAGGGUACGUCCGGGGUAGGAGUGAAAUCCCGUAAUCCUGGACGGACCACCGGUGGCGAAAGCGCUCUGGAAAGACGGAUCCGACGGUGAGGGACGAAAGCUCGGGUCACGAACCGGAUUAGAUACCCUCGUAGUCC
RNAcentral lists this ribosomal RNA (293 nucleotides) under uncultured prokaryote. Its description in RNAcentral is "partial 16S ribosomal RNA". It matches the Rfam family "Archaeal small subunit ribosomal RNA", at positions 455 to 747 of the family's 1478-position model. The record is from RNAcentral.